GAACGGUAGCAGAGAGGAGCUUGCUUUUUUGUGUGGCGAGUGGCGGACGGGUGAGGAAUAUAUGGGAAUCUACUUUAUGGUGGGGGAUAACGUAGGGAAACUUAAGCUAAUACCGCAUAAGGUCUACGGGUCGAAAGCAGGGGAUCUUCGGGCCUUUCGCGAUUGAAUGAGCCCAGUGUCGGAUUAGCUAGUUGGCGGGGUAAAGGCUCACCAAGGCGACGAUCCCUAGCUGGUCUGAGAGGAUGAUCAGCCACACUGGAACUGAGACACGGUCCAGACUCCUACGGGAGGCAGCAGUGGGGAAUAUUGGACAAUGGGCGCAACCUGAAUGCAGCCAUACCGCGUGGAUGAAGAAGGCCUUCGGGUUGUAAAGUCCUUUUGUUGGGAAAGAAAUCCAUAUAGUUAAUACCC
RNAcentral lists this ribosomal RNA (411 nucleotides) under uncultured bacterium. RNAcentral's name for it is "bacterial SSU rRNA". It matches the Rfam family "Bacterial small subunit ribosomal RNA", at positions 64 to 480 of the family's 1533-position model. The record is from RNAcentral.